GACGAACGCUGGCGGCGUGCCUAAUACAUGCAAGUAGAACGCUGAAGGAGGAGCUUGCUUCUCCGGAUGAGUUGCGAACGGGUGAGUAACGCGUAGGUAACCUGCCUGGUAGCGGGGGAUAACUAUUGGAAACGAUAGCUAAUACCGCAUAACAGUAGAUGUUGCAUGACAUUUGCUUAAAAGGUGCAAUUGCAUCACUACCAGAUGGACCUGCGUUGUAUUAGCUAGUUGGUGAGGUAACGGCUCACCAAGGCGACGAUACAUAGCCGACCUGAGGGGGGGUUGGCCCACCCUGGGGUUGGACCACGGCCCAGGCUCCUACGGGGGGCCCCGAUUGGGAAUCUUGGGCAAGGGGCGGAAGCUUGACCCAGCAACGGCGGGGUGAUGAAGAAGGUUUUCGGACGGUAAAGCCUUGUUUUAAGGGAAAAACGAUUUUGAGAGUGGAAAGUCCACCCUUGGCGGGUUUUUUACCAGAAAGGGCCGCCUAACUACUG
RNAcentral lists this ribosomal RNA (494 nucleotides) under uncultured bacterium. Its description in RNAcentral is "partial 16S ribosomal RNA". It matches the Rfam family "Bacterial small subunit ribosomal RNA", at positions 28 to 506 of the family's 1533-position model. The record is from RNAcentral.